This 199-nucleotide unclassified non-coding RNA is filed under the name uncultured fungus. Its description in RNAcentral is "sequence contains ITS1, 5.8S rRNA gene". The record is from RNAcentral. Lineage: Eukaryota; Fungi.
UUGACUUAUUCAGUGCAGAAGACUCAGAGAGGCCAUACAAUUCAAUAGUUUGGUUUACCUCCGGCGGGCGCCCGCGAGGGCCGGGGGGCGCCGGGAGUGACCCGGGCCGCCCGCCGAAGCAACGGUUUUGGUAACGUUCACAAUGGUUUGGGAGUUUUGCAACUCUGUAAUGAUCCCUCCGCUGGUUCACCAACGGAGA